This 800-nucleotide ribosomal RNA is filed under the name uncultured bacterium. RNAcentral describes it as "bacterial SSU rRNA". It matches the Rfam family "Bacterial small subunit ribosomal RNA", at positions 8 to 805 of the family's 1533-position model. The record is from RNAcentral.
AGAGUUUGAUCAUGGCUCAGGAUGAACGCUGGCGGCGUGCUUAACACAUGCAAGUCGAACGAAGCACUUUAUUGGAUUUCCUUCGGGGAAGAAGAUGUUGUGACUGAGUGGCGGACGGGUGAGUAACGCGUGGGUAACCUGCCCCAUACAGGGGGAUAACAGCCGGAAACGGCUGCUAAAACCGCAUAAGCGCACAGUACCGCAUGGUACGGUGUGAAAAACUCCGGUGGUAUGGGAUGGACCCGCGUCUGAUUAGCUGGUUGGCAGGGUAACGGCCUACCAAGGCGACGAUCAGUAGCCGACCUGAGAGGGUGACCGGCCACAUUGGGACUGAGACACGGCCCAAACUCCUACGGGAGGCAGCAGUGGGGAAUAUUGCACAAUGGGGGAAACCCUGAUGCAGCGACGCCGCGUGAGCGAAGAAGUAUUUCGGUAUGUAAAGCUCUAUCAGCAGGGAAGAAGAGUGACGGUACCUGACUAAGAAGCACCGGCUAAAUACGUGCCAGCAGCCGCGGUAAUACGUAUGGUGCAAGCGUUAUCCGGAUUUACUGGGUGUAAAGGGAGCGCAGGCGGAAGGCUAAGUCUGAUGUGAAAGCCCAGGGCUCAACCCUGGUACUGCAUUGGAAACUGGUCAUCUAGAGUGUCGGAGGGGUAAGUGGAAUUCCUAGUGUAGCGGUGAAAUGCGUAGAUAUUAGGAGGAACACCAGUGGCGAAGGCGGCUUACUGGACGAUGACUGACGCUGAGGCUCGAAAGCGUGGGGAGCAAACAGGAUUAGAUACCCUGGUAGUCCACGCCGUAA